UGAGCCAUUAGCUCAGUUGGUAGAGCAUCUGACUUUUAAUCAGAGGGUCAGAGGUUCGAAUCCUCUAUGGCUCAUUAC
Molecule: transfer RNA, 78 nt
Filed under: Staphylococcus capitis SK14
Lineage: Bacteria; Bacillati; Bacillota; Bacilli; Caryophanales; Staphylococcaceae
Also listed under: 1 other name
Description: tRNA-Lys
Rfam family: tRNA
About the family: Transfer RNA (tRNA) molecules are approximately 80 nucleotides in length. Their secondary structure includes four short double-helical elements and three loops (D, anti-codon, and T loops).
Source: RNAcentral